Molecule: long non-coding RNA, 1221 nt
Filed under: Homo sapiens (human)
Lineage: Eukaryota; Metazoa; Chordata; Mammalia; Primates; Hominidae
Description: non-protein coding STARD7-AS1:10
Source: RNAcentral
AUGCGCGGAGGCCGCCUGCUAGCAAGGUUCCCACGUAACAUCACAUCAGACCCAAGGGCCCGUUCAUUGCAAGGCGAAGGAGGCAUGACAAUGGCACGUGACCAUGGGAUCACUGGUCCUGUCACAUUCUGCACCACCCAGAAGAUACUGGCUUGAACGAAGAGAAGAAAUGGGCUGUUGAAGGCGUAGCUGAGAUGCCAGCUCAGAGACGAUGAUACCAAGUGCUGAACCUGAGAGCAGCCCCAGUACACUCCCUGCAUGGGAAUCUCCAUCUCAAAGUCAGCCUCCAGGGAGCCCGCCCUGAAACAGAUUCUGUCAUGGAACUCAACAGAGUAUCCUGGUGCGGAUAACCAGUGUUGGGAGUUAGAGCACGGACUCUCUCCACCUGCACGGUGCUGGAGCUCUGCACACCCCCUCUGCAGCCAUCCCUCGCCGCUGUCCCUUAGCUGACGCCCUUGCCCUCUGUGUGUCCUUCCUCAUGGCCUGCAGGUUUCAGAUCCCAAGCUACAGAUCAUGUCUUCUAGUCUGGGCUCUGGCAGAGAGUUCGGAAGCACUCUUAUUAUCUUAGCAGCAGCAUGUGUGGAAAUCAUUUCUCAUUACAGCGGAGGGCAGGCAUUGUGCAGAGGGUUAAGUGGGCCUGCUUGAAGUUGGUUGUUGUUAGCUCUCAUGUCUAUGCCUUGGUCCCUUUCCCCUCAGGACUUGGAGAGCAAGCUGUUUGAGUCUGAUGCAACCCCUGGGCUUUGACUAUCAUGCCAAAAGGCAGCAAAUAAGUGCCUUUUCUUCCCUUCAGAAUACAUGGACAAUCCAAAGCUCUAUUAGUCUAUUAUUCAGAAUGAAAAGUGUUUACAAUAUUCGUCCUCUUACUCCUCAGUAUGUGAGACUGUUCCUCGUAGCAGGUAAUUUCUUCCGAAUUCAAAAACUCCUCAUGGAAGCAUCUGUUUUUGUCAUCAAGGAGGGGGCUGUAUGUGGAAUUGCAAGGCCAAAGACAUCUCGGGUCAACUCUUCUCAGGACCAGAUCCAAGUCGCCAGUGAGAACACACAUUCAGGCAGCCUCCACCAGCGCCCUGCCUCAGGAGCGAGGCUCCCUGCUUCAUGUGGGCAAGAGCUGCCCUUGUUUUCCCAGCGGGCAGUUGGGGGUCUGGAGCCUAGGAAGCAAAGUGAAGCACACACUCCUGCUUCCUUCCUUCCCUGCAGUUGGUGAGUAUCUGGCUCAGUUUAGGU